This 21-nucleotide microRNA is filed under the name Monodelphis domestica (gray short-tailed opossum). Its description in RNAcentral is "mdo-miR-7328-3p". Lineage: Eukaryota; Metazoa; Chordata; Mammalia; Didelphimorphia; Didelphidae. The record is from miRBase by way of RNAcentral.
UAAGAACUAGACGGGCCAGCU